Molecule: ribosomal RNA, 274 nt
Filed under: uncultured bacterium
Lineage: Bacteria
Description: partial 16S ribosomal RNA
Rfam family: Bacterial small subunit ribosomal RNA
Source: RNAcentral
CUACGGAGGGUGCAAGCGUUAUUCGGAAUCACUGGGCGUAAAGGACGCGUAGGCGGGUUGGCAAGUCAGAUGUGGAAUCCUACAGCUUAACUGUAGAACUGCAUUUGAAACUGCUAACCUAGAGUAUGGGAGGGGGAGAUGGAAUUAGUGGUGUAGGGGUAAAAUCCGUAGAUAUCACUAGGAAUACCGAAAGCGAAGGCGAUCUCCUGGAACAUAACUGACGCUAAGGCGUGAAAGCGUGGAGAGCAAACAGGAUUAGAAACCCUAGUAGUCC